UUAUCAAUCCAUAAUUUAUAAAACAGGUUACGAUUUGGUAGAUUUUACACCUACCCAUUUUUUGGAAAUGAAAGAUAUAAACAAUAGAAAUAUUAAAUCAAUAGAAAUAUUAAAUCUUUACUUUAUCUUUAUCCAAAAAAAUUUUUGGUGNAAAAAAUUAUUUAUAAUCCNUAUUUUUCAAAAUAAAAAAAAAANCUGAAAAAANUGGAGAAUUUCUACUACUUAGUUUAGAAAAAAAAANUCGUCUUUUUUCUAUAUUAAUUUUUAAAAAUUAACGAGAAUCAAGUGUAUUAAUCCUCUAGGUAUACUUACGCAAUAUACCUUUAUUUAUAUUAUAUUUUNAUAAACCUCCAGGUAUACUUACCCNAAUAGAGAUAUUUUAGAGACUACUAUACUCUAGUAGUAUAUUUUUUUCCUUACCCAAUAUAUUAGUCUAAAAAACUAAUAUAUUGGGUAUAUUGGGUAUUUAUCAAAUUAAUAUUCAAAUUUUUAAUAUAAUGAACAAUUCAAAAGAUCUAG
RNAcentral lists this unclassified non-coding RNA (519 nucleotides) under Cyperus albescens. Its description in RNAcentral is "partial contains trnH gene (partial), trnH-psbA IGS and psbA gene (partial)". Lineage: Eukaryota; Viridiplantae; Streptophyta; Magnoliopsida; Poales; Cyperaceae. The record is from RNAcentral.